UGCAUAAUUAAAAGUUUUCUUGAUUUUGCUGCCAAAUUGUGUAAACGAAAGAGACUACGAUUUUUAUACCGAUGGAAGGUGUCGGCUCCUCCCCUGUUUGUCAUUCUUCAGUUCUCUCCCAUUUUAAUAUGGAUGAAUGCCGUGGAAAUGAAACAAUCCUAACGCCAAAAAAAGAAGCCACAAAAUUCUCUCUUUACUUUCUCCACUCUCUCCGUCACUUCACCUCCUUUCUCUGAUUAUCUCUCUUUAUCACUCUCUCUCUAUCUCUCCAAACGGACCAAACCUUAGCAUCAGACUAUUAGAGGGCAUCAAAACAGAAAGGAACGAAGGAUAUGAGUCUUUUGCUUGCGAUUUUAUCAUUUCUGGCAAGAGUGGUCUGAUUGGGUUCCUCCUAAGAGAAGAUGGAGUUUAAGGACAAGGACAGUAAUCUCACAUCCACCUUGUACACCAGCAUUUUCAUGGCUUCCCCAGCCCUGUGAGAAUAUUUUUUUGGGUUAUUGGUUUUGAAGGAGGUUGAGUGAUGAAGAAAAGAAGGGCACCAUGGAAGAUAUCUAAAACCGAUUUUAGCUCAGAUUUGAUAGCCAUUAAAGGUUGUUGCUGUUGCACUAAAGUGUGAAACAACCUAGGCACAAUUUGAUGACAUGGCUACCAGAUCUAGAAGAUAUCCCAAAUGCCCAAAAGUCACCUAGGAUAGGAUAUAAAGAGAAAACUCAUGGCGUUCUAGAAAAAAAGAAGACAUUAUUUGGAAUUUUUAUUUUAGCUUAUUUGGCUUAUGACGUUGUCUAUAACUAUUUAAUGUGGUUUAUUACAUUGUCAAGAACUAUUUUAUGUGUUUUAUGAUAUCUGAAUAUUGAAAAGGUAAUCUUAAAAUUUAGUAGAUUCAGACUAGGUUAUUAAAAUUUAUGACUUUUGUUAAUGAAUUUGUCACAUGGCCUAUGUGCAAGGUUUCAGUAAGUUCACUAAUGAGCUUGUGUGAUAUUUGAUAGUGUGCAUCAUCUAUUAUGGAUUUGGUAUACUAAACUUUGGUUGAAACAAAAAUACUAUGGUUAUGCAGCACAACAAAGGUUCACUAUAAUAUGCUUGAAAAUGUUUGACGAUAAUUGAAUUUGUUUUAUGGGUGAUUAUUAAAGCUUAAUUUUACUCACCAGAUGGUCUACAUGUAGUCAACUAAUUUUGAUCAUAUCAUUUUUCAAACUUUUUGUAUAUAUUUCUUUACUUACUGAUUGUAAGUGGACUUGGUUUAACUUCAUGGCAAAUGUGUAUAAUAAUUUUUCAUGGUAUAAAAAAGAAGUUUGAAAUCCAGAUGAGUUUCAAAUGGUUUAAUAAUCCAAGUUAACAUCAAUAGCACCACUACAAUUGAUCAUUCCCGUGUGUAAACACGGUUUACAUACUAGUUUUUAUAAAGAGUCCUUACAUAUUAUUAUUCCUUUUUCUAAAAUAUUAUUCUUUUAUUAUUUUUCAUGUGAGAGUUCUUUUACCUUAUGUUACCUACUAUGGUUGGUACUAGGAAACCGGCACUUUCAUAUGAAAUGUGAAACUCAGAAACUCUAAGCAAAUCAAAGUAAAACUCAACAACAAAUGUUUAAAGAAAACUCUUUUUCAUCCCAAAAACAAAGUUAAUUAACUUUUUAAAAAUCCUACAACCAUGCCACAAAAAUGUGAAACUCAAAAACCCUAAGCAAACCAAAAGUCUUUGAAUUAACAUGAAACUCAACAACAAACGUAAAACCCAAAAGUCCAAAAACCCUACACUUACAAUCCAAAAACGGUCACAACAUCCUUUCUAUCGCUAUUACCUAGCCACCCAUGUGUGAGCCACACUAAUAGUAGCUCCACUAUUGCUAUAGUUUUUUAGGGUAACCCAUUGUUCUAUUAUAUCUUUCUAUAGUGUAAUCAUUUUUUUUCAAUGUUUCAAUAAUUUCUUAGCUCUAAAUAUAUUCUUUAAUUUUUGGAUUAAUUUUUUGCUCUAUUUGAAUCUAUU
Quercus robur (English oak) is the source of this 1981-nucleotide long non-coding RNA. RefSeq lists it as uncharacterized. The record is from RefSeq and is a predicted model, not a curated record. NCBI's taxonomy places the organism in Eukaryota, Viridiplantae, Streptophyta, Magnoliopsida, Fagales, Fagaceae. The transcript is spliced from 3 exons.